UACGUAGGGUGCGAGCGUUAAUCGGAAUUACUGGGCGUAAAGCGUGCGCAGGCGGUUUCGUAAGACAGAUGUGAAAUCCCCGGGCUUAACCUGGGAACUGCGUUUGUGACUGCGAGACUCGAGUGUGGCAGAGGGGGGUGGAAUUCCACGUGUAGCAGUGAAAUGCGUAGAUAUCAGGAGGAACACCGAUGGCGAAGGCAGGUCUCUGGGCUGACACUGACGCUCAUGCACGAAAGCGUGGGGAGCAAACAGG
This 253-nucleotide ribosomal RNA is filed under the name uncultured bacterium. Its description in RNAcentral is "partial 16S ribosomal RNA". It matches the Rfam family "Bacterial small subunit ribosomal RNA", at positions 524 to 776 of the family's 1533-position model. The record is from RNAcentral.